UACGGAGGGUGCAAGCGUUGUCCGGAUUUAUUGGGUUUAAAGGGUGCGUAGGCGGCCUUUUAAGUCAGUGGUGAAAGCCAACAGCCCAACUGUUGAACUGCCAUGGAUACUGUAAGGCUUGAGUACAGACGAGGUAGGCGGAAUGGAUGGUGUAGCGGUGAAAUGCAUAGAUACCAUCCAGAACACCGAUUGCGUAGGCAGCUUACUAGGCUGUAACUGACGCUGAGGCACGAAAGCGUGGGGAGCGAACAGG
This 253-nucleotide ribosomal RNA is filed under the name uncultured bacterium. Its description in RNAcentral is "partial 16S ribosomal RNA". It matches the Rfam family "Bacterial small subunit ribosomal RNA", at positions 524 to 776 of the family's 1533-position model. The record is from RNAcentral.